Non-coding RNA from Caerostris extrusa, 106 nucleotides. The record is from the annotation of a GenBank genome assembly. Lineage: Eukaryota; Metazoa; Arthropoda; Arachnida; Araneae; Araneidae.
ACGGCCAUACCAUGCUGAAUAUACCGGUUCUCGUUAGAUGACCGAAGUCAAGCAUCAUUGGGCGCUGUUAGUACUUGGGUAACCACCUGGGAACACCGCAUGCCGU